RNAcentral lists this ribosomal RNA (467 nucleotides) under uncultured bacterium. Its description in RNAcentral is "partial 16S ribosomal RNA". It matches the Rfam family "Bacterial small subunit ribosomal RNA", at positions 28 to 507 of the family's 1533-position model. The record is from RNAcentral.
GACGAACGCUGGCGGCGUGCUUAACACAUGCAAGUCGAACGGAAAGGCUCCAGCUUGUUGGAGUGCUCGAGUGGCGAACGGGUGAGUAACACGUGGGCAAUCUGCCCUGCACUCUGGGAUAAGCCUGGGAAACUGGGUCUAAUACCGGAUAGGACCUUUCUCCUCAUGGGGUUUGGUGGAAAGUUUUUCGGUGCAGGAUGAGCCCGCGGCCUAUCAGCUUGUUGGUGGGGUAAUGGCCUACCAAGGCGACGACGGGUAGCCGGCCUGAGAGGGUGAUCGGCCACAUUGGGACUGAGAUACGGCCCAGACUCCUACGGGAGGCAGCAGUGGGGAAUAUUGCACAAUGGGCGAAAGCCUGAUGCAGCGACGCCGCGUGAGGGAUGACGGCCUUCGGGUUGUAAACCUCUUUCAGUAGGGACGAAGCGCAAGUGACGGUACCUGCAGAAGAAGCACCGGCUAACUACGUG